RNA transcript from Ostrinia nubilalis (European corn borer), 1783 nucleotides. It is a transcript of the gene named thrombin inhibitor hemalin-like, with no coding region annotated. Lineage: Eukaryota; Metazoa; Arthropoda; Insecta; Lepidoptera; Crambidae. The record is from RefSeq and is a predicted model, not a curated record. The transcript has 5 exons.
UGUCAUAAUAGUCAAAUCAUUUUUGAUUAUUUUGAAAAUUAAAAUUUAUUUGAAGUAAUAUGUUUGCAUAUCGCUUUACUAAUUUAGCAGUUCACCCUCAAUUACUAUUACCCAGAGCAAUAUUUGCAACGCACACGCCAUUGUGUCCGACUUCAAAAACAAAGCCUCCUGCAGGCAAAGGCGCUGUUUGUCCAGGCUCAGGGGGCAAGGGCGGGGCGGCUGUAAGUGGCGGCAGUAAAGGUCCAGGCUUGAAACGCCAAGAAUUUUCUGCCAAGGUGAGGUUUGGCUUUAUACCCGAAGAAUGGUUUCUAUUCUUCCAUUCAAAGACAGGCGUUUCGGGCCCUUAUGUAUUCGGAAUCGUUGUAGCGAACUACUUGUUGAGCAAGGAAAUUUUUAUCAUGGAGCAUGAGUAUUACAGUGGACUAUCUUGGGUCCUAGUUUUAUAUCUCGUAGCCACCAAGAUGGGGCCAGGUAUUGGUGCCUCUUUAGACAAAGAUGUAGAUGCAAUAGUUGCCGAAUUCGAAAGUAGUAGAAAAGCUGAAACUGCUAGCUACGAGACAACCAUAAAAGAUGCCAAGGAUGCUCAGAUGAGAGCGGAAGGACAGAAAUUACUGAUGGAUGCUAAAAAGGAGAACGUGGCUAUGCAACUUGAAGCUGCGUAUCGGGAGCGGUUCAUGCUCGUAUACAAAACAGUUAGAGGGCGUAUGGACUACCACGUCAAACGAUAUCAAUCCGAGGCGCGAAUACAUCAAAAGUGGAUGAUUGGUUGGAUAUUAGAAAACGUGAUGAAAUCUAUAACCCCGGACUUCGAAAAGCAGGCACUAGAAAGUGCUAUUCGAGACUUAGCUGCAGCCGCCAGUCGUGCGAAGUAAUAUAGAUGUUCUGGUUUAUGUAUUAUUUUUAUUUUCAACAACGAACUACCAAACUACGUGGUUGUUUUAUUACUCGAAUAAAAAUACGAAGUCCCCUCGGUUUAUAGGCUCUUAUUUAUUUUAUGACUCUUGAGCCUAAAGAUUACAUAAAAUAAAAAUCUGUUAUCGAAUGGUGUGUGUAGUUUUAUAUAUUUUACUUCUUUUAUUUAUAUUUUAUAAACAUUUUACAUAGUAUUAUAAUAUAGUAUAGAUAAAAUGCUAUGGGCUGUUCUUGGAUUUCUGUGUAUAAAUAUGUUUAUACUUAACACCGAGCAACAAGGACCUGGCAAACCUGGGAGGCCUGGCGAACCGGGGGGGCCUGGCGAACCUGGGAGGCCUGGCGAACCAGGUGACGACGCAUCUGAUGGAGAAACAGAAGACGAGAGGGAAACUAAAUUGGAUUGGGAUGUUUUUUGUAAAUACCAACCGAAUGAAUAUGAAUGCUAUGCCGGGGGAAUGUCUAGACCAAGAUUUUACUACGACAUUAAGAUGGAAGAUUGUAAAACUGCCAAAUUCGGGAACUGCCCCCAAAAUAUGAAUCAAUUUAACUCGUUAUCGGAAUGCCAGGAUCGUUGUCGAGAUCCCGGACAACACGCAAUAAAAGUUAACUUAUCAGAAAGUAUUUAUUGUCGGCUGCAACCUGAUUUCGGCCAGUGCAACGACUAUUACCCAUUGUGGUAUUUUGAUAUCUCUAUUCGAUCGUGCAGAGGUUUCUCAUACAGCGGCUGCGGCGGGAACCACAACAGGUUUCCCAACGCCCAGAUCUGCGCCGCAGUUUGUGGAGCUGUUGUUACAUAUUUGUGAAUUCAGACUGUUUCAAUAAAUCAACAAAAAUUUACCAUCAAUAAAUUAUCUACAUUUAACCGAAAUAA